Molecule: ribosomal RNA, 432 nt
Filed under: uncultured bacterium
Lineage: Bacteria
Description: partial 16S ribosomal RNA
Rfam family: Bacterial small subunit ribosomal RNA
Source: RNAcentral
AACGAACGCUGGCGGCAGGCCUAACACAUGCAAGUCGAGCGGACCUUCGGGGUUAGCGGCGGACGGGUGAGUAACGCGUGGGAAUAUGCCCUUCUCUACGGAAUAGUCCUGGGAAACUGGGGGUAAUACCGUAUACGCCCUUUGGGGGAAAGAUUUAUCGGGGAAGGAUUAGCCCGCGUUGGAUUAGGUAGUUGGUGGGGUAAUGGCCUACCAAGCCGACGAUCCAUAGCUGGUUUGAGAGGAUGAUCAGCCACACUGGGACUGAGACACGGCCCAGACUCCUACGGGAGGCAGCAGUGGGGAAUCUUAGACAAUGGGGGCAACCCUGAUCUAGCCAUGCCGCGUGAGUGAUGAAGGCCUUAGGGUUGUAAAGCUCUUUCAGCUGGGAAGAUAAUGACGGUACCAGCAGAAGAAGCCCCGGCUAACUCCGUG